AAGAGUACGUGAAACCGCUUAGGGGUUAAGCCCGAUGAACCUGAAUAUCCGAAUUGAGAAAUUCAAUACUGUUUUAGUUGCUUAUCUAAACAAUAAGUAAUCGAUGGUAUGCACUUUUCUCAUAGUAGGACAUUGCGAUCCAUUAGUAGUCUCUUUGAGACGGUUUAUCAAACGGCCUGCGUAGUCAGUUUAGCCUAUCUGCAAUGCAUUUAUGUAUUGUAUGGUUAAUGCUACUGCGGUGACCUGGUAAACAGCUGAUGGAGCUUAACAAUCAUGCCACCAUGCAAAUGUAUCACGGUGCGAUUAUAUUUAUAUUUUCGUAUGCAGUGAUCGCAUGUAUUUGAUUAGCAAUGCGAUAGAUUUGGGAUACCUUCGGGACCCGUCUUGAAACACGGACCAAGAAGUCUAACAUGUGUGUAAGUCAUUGGGUAUUUUGAUGAAACCUAAAGGCGAAAUUAAAAUAACUAUUAUGGGAUUACAAGCAAUCUACAAUGGUUGUUUCUCCAUCCCGGGGCGUUCUAUAUGAACAUGGUUCAAGCAAUUGGACCCUCUGUUCGAGAGCGUACCUUGAACAUACAUGCUGUGACCC
Molecule: ribosomal RNA, 589 nt
Filed under: Docosia gilvipes
Lineage: Eukaryota; Metazoa; Arthropoda; Insecta; Diptera; Mycetophilidae
Description: eukaryotic LSU rRNA
Rfam family: Eukaryotic large subunit ribosomal RNA
Source: RNAcentral